UACGUAGGGUGCAAGCGUUAAUCGGAAUUACUGGGCGUAAAGCGUGCGCAGGCGGUUUUGUAAGUCUGACGUGAAAUCCCCGGGCUCAAACUGGGAAUUGCGUUGGAGACUGCAAGGCUAGAAUCUGGCAGAGGGGGGUAGAAUUCCACGUGUAGCAGUGAAAUGCGUAGAGAUGUGGAGGAACACCGAUGGCGAAGGCAGCCCCCUGGGUCAAGAUUGACGCUCAUGCACGAAAGCGUGGGGAGCAAACAGG
This 253-nucleotide ribosomal RNA is filed under the name uncultured bacterium. Its description in RNAcentral is "partial 16S ribosomal RNA". It matches the Rfam family "Bacterial small subunit ribosomal RNA", at positions 524 to 776 of the family's 1533-position model. The record is from RNAcentral.